CCUACGGGAGGCAGCAGUGAGGAAUAUUGGUCAAUGGCCGGAAGUCUGAACCAGCCAUGCCGCGUGCAGGAAGACGGCUCUAUGAGUUGUAAACUGCUUUUGUCCAUGGGUAAACCUGAAUACGUGUAUGCAGCUGACAGUAUCGUACGAAUAAGGAUCGGCUAACUCCGUGCCAGCAGCCGCGGUAAUACGGAGGAUUCAAGCGUUAUCCGGAGUUAUUGGGUUUAAAGGGUGCGUCGGCGGUCGGAUAAGUUAGAGGUGAAAUCCCGAGGCUCAACUUCGGAAUUGCCUAUGAUACUGUUCGGCUAGAGAGUAGUGGCGGUAGGCGGAAUGUAUGGUGUAGCGGUGAAAUGCUUAGAGAUCAUACAGAACACCGAUUGCGAAGGCAGCUUACCAAGCUACUUCUGACGUUGAGGCACGAAAGCGUGGGUAGCAAACAGGAUUAGAUACCCCAGUAGUC
Molecule: ribosomal RNA, 460 nt
Filed under: uncultured bacterium
Lineage: Bacteria
Description: partial 16S ribosomal RNA
Rfam family: Bacterial small subunit ribosomal RNA
Source: RNAcentral